Molecule: ribosomal RNA, 534 nt
Filed under: Schwanniomyces polymorphus var. polymorphus
Lineage: Eukaryota; Fungi; Ascomycota; Pichiomycetes; Serinales; Debaryomycetaceae
Description: eukaryotic LSU rRNA
Rfam family: Eukaryotic large subunit ribosomal RNA
Source: RNAcentral
CUCAAAUUUGAAAUCUGGCACCUUCGGUGUCCGAGUUGUAAUUUGAAGAAGGUAACUUUGGAGUUGGCUCUUGUCUAUGUUCCUUGGAACAGGACGUCACAGAGGGUGAGAAUCCCGUGCGAUGAGAUGCCCAAUUCUAUGUAAAGUGCUUUCGAAGAGUCGAGUUGUUUGGGAAUGCAGCUCUAAGUGGGUGGUAAAUUCCAUCUAAAGCUAAAUAUUGGCGAGAGACCGAUAGCGAACAAGUACAGUGAUGGAAAGAUGAAAAGAACUUUGAAAAGAGAGUGAAAAAGUACGUGAAAUUGUUGAAAGGGAAGGGCUUGAGAUCAGACUUGGUAUUUUGCAAGCCUUACCUUCGUGGUGGGGUCCCCUGCAGUUUACUGGGCCAGCAUCGGUUUGGAUGGUAGGAUAAUGACUUGGGAAUGUGACUUUGCUUCGGUAAAGUGUUAUAGCCCUUGUUGAUACUGCCUGUCUAGACCGAGGACUGCGUCUUUGACUAGGAUGCUGGCAUAAUGAUCUUAAGUCGCCCGUCUUGAA